RNAcentral lists this ribosomal RNA (468 nucleotides) under uncultured bacterium. Its description in RNAcentral is "partial 16S ribosomal RNA". It matches the Rfam family "Bacterial small subunit ribosomal RNA", at positions 28 to 507 of the family's 1533-position model. The record is from RNAcentral.
AACGAACGCUGGCGGCGGGCUUAACACAUGCAAGUCGAACGGAAAGGCCCUGCUUUUGUGGGGUGCUCGAGUGGCGAACGGGUGAGUAACACGUGAGUAACCUGCCCUUGACUUUGGGAUAACUUCAGGAAACUGGGGCUAAUACCGGAUAGGAGCUCCUGCUGCAUUGUGGGGGUUGGAAAGUUUCGGCGGUUGGGGAUGGACGCGCGGCUUAUCAGCUUGUUGGUGGGGUAGUGGCUUACCAAGGCUUUGACGGGUAGCCGGCCUGAGAGGGUGACCGGCCACAUUGGGACUGAGAGACGGACCAGAGGCCUACGGUAGGCAGCAGUGGGGAAUAUUGUACAGUGGGCGGAAGCCUGAUGAAGAAACGCCGCGUGCGGGAUGACGGUCUUCGGGGUGUAAACAGCUUUAGCCUGUGACGACGCGUGAGUGACGGUAAUGGGUAAAGAAGCACCGGCUAACUACGUG